UUUCUAGAGCUCCGAGGCAGCUAGUAGGGGGUGAGUGCGCCACGUGCGUGCGCCACGGGCGAGGAGGAGGCGGGCUCCGGGCCCUCCGGGGGCCUGUGGGCCUGGGUGCGCGGAGCGGGGGCGGGCUGUCUCGGCGGGGNNNNNNNNNNNNNNNNGCGGCUGCUGGUUUGGCGGCGAGGCCGCGUGGUGGGCUGUGGAGAAUGGGAGGAGGGCGCCACGGUGGUGGGUGGGCCCUAGAAACGCUCGGUGGCGGUGUUGGGGAGUUGCCGCGCUCAUCUGGUUUGGGGAUCGUGGGGCUGUUUCCCCCAGGUUGGAGAAAGACGACCCCGGAGAGCUGGGGCUGAGUCCCGAGCCUGGCGCCCAGGAAACCCACCUACGCACGGUGCACAAAGCGGUGGCACGCGGUCGGCGUCCGGCGGCCCUGGCCGCCCCGCGUGCUCUGAGUGGUGUGCGCGCCUUGGGGAGAGGGAGCGCGGCAGGCGCGGGUCCGGCCGCCGCCCCUGGCCCGCCAGUCAGCCCGGUUUUUCACCUGACGGACCAAUAGGAAAGGACGCGGUCUCAGAGCUGGAUUUUACAGCCCAAUCUCUCAGGGUCUACACGAUUAUUUAAAAAAAAAAAAAAACUAACAGCCAACUGCUGGCUCUGGUAGUUCAGCUGCCUCGUUGGUCUGUGCGCGUCUUGGCUAGGGAAAGGCCGCAAGCUACACGACAAAUGGGAGUCUAGGGAGAAAAGACACGAAACCCCCUAAACUUCCUUUCCGUUGCCGUCCCCUUUAUUUGUUAGCACGUGAGAGCAGUGCCGGGGACUCAUGCAGAAAUGCCAUCACGAAAUGCAAAUGUCUCGGCUGUCCUUUGAUCUGCCUGUGGAGCUGUAUCAAGGGCAGCAAGAGUGGUGGAAAGAUCAAUGCUCCAAAGGCAUUGUCAAGUACUCAGCUGAAUAAAUCAAAGGUGUGAAGUGUUUAUAUUGUCCUGCUCUUGAAGCUGUAAGCUGCUACCAAUAUGGUAGCCGCUAGCCGCCUAUGGCUCUUUAAGCUUAUUAGAAUUACAUAAAAUUUAAAAUUCAGUCCCUCAGUUAUACUGGCCACGUUUUAAGUGCUCGGUAGCCACAGGCAGCUAGCGGCUACCUUAUUUGACUGCGAGAUGUUGAACAUUGCCAUCAUUGCAUAAAGUUCUAUUGGAAUGUGCUGCUCUAGAGUUUUAAAUGAAUGCUGGUUAAAAAAAAAGAAAGAAAGAAUCUGCUUUAUGAUACCAGCCAAAUUUUAGGACACUCUUGGCAUUUGCAUUUCCUGGCACCAGUGUGGAAAGUUUUAAAGUCAGAAUUUCCGUAUCUUCUUGCUGAAAGAGGUCUAGGGAACAUUUAACACAAGCACCUAAUUUUUCACAGGGAAAACAAGUGGGGCCCGGAGAAGUUAAGAGAUGCACCCCCAAACGAUGCCAUAAAUUUAGAAAAAAGAUAAGGUCACCAGAGCGGGUCUAUCUAGUACACUUUGCGCCAGACGAGGGCACCUUGCCUGGGGUUGGCUAAGGCAAAUGAACCCUACAGAAAAGGGGCCUGAUGGAAGAUUUUCCACAGCAGUACCCUUUUAGAAGAGAAAAUGCUUCUAAGCACGCCUCUAGGAAGAAAUUCUAGUAAGAAUAAAGUGUGUGAGGGAAUAGCACUGUCACCCAAACUAAAAAUAUAUUCUUGGUAGCGUCAUAGUUUCAUAUGACGUCUUCUAAAAGAGACUAGUUGGAUUAACGUUCUUAUUUAUACUUAAAAAAUUCUGAGGAAAUGGAAUUAUCCUUUUAAAGUAUGAGCUAAAAAGCACUCUUAAGGUCGGGGGGGGGGGGAGUGUCAGGUGAGGGUUGUUACCAAAGCAUAGCUUCCUCAAGUUCGAUGAAGAUAUUAUCAGGUACGAGUUAUGGAACCUCCCUUUGCUUCAGUUUCCCCAUCUAUAAAAUGUGGAACAUAGUCUUAAACUUCGUUAUGAGGAUUCAAUGAGCCACCCAACAUACAGCACAAGACUGGAAAUUGGCAAACUGUACUAAAAGCCAUUCUUACUCUCCUGUGAAGAAUUUCAACUUCUACACCAUCAAGUUCAGGAUGAGAACUUCGUCAGUUUUAUUUUUAAGAGGUAGAGAUCUCUUCAGUCCUAAAAUUCCCUGACCAAAGGGGUAUACGUUCUUAUUUCCCUUUCAUAGGCAUGGUGUCUCUAGUAUACUUCCAGACUUUCAUUGUCUUAUUUUAUUAUUAUUAUUUUUUUUUGUCUUAAGGGAUGCUUCUUUCUACUUGUUAGCUGCUUGGUUGUUGAAAAGGCACUAGAAACUCCAAGUCCAUCCUCUUUCACCCUGGUUGACCUUUGGAAUGCUGUUGUCAGCCAAGAAGACAUUGAUAUCUUCAGUCUCCUGCUAGCUUGAAUUCUUUAGGGCAGAGCCUGCUCAGAUUAUCUCCUGAUGUCAUUCCAAAUGUCUGAUGGCCAUCUAUGGCAACGGGGCUGGGCCGAGGCCUUCCGGGAAGGGGGGCCCAUGGAAUGCCUAAUGGAGCAUUCUGUUCAAGAGAGACCUAGAGGUUGUUCUCUCUUGGAUGCAUGGUCAACAUUACAGCUAUGUCUAGAGGCCUGUUUGCUGCUUCUGGCAAAACGGACGCCAUAGACAUUUUGCAUUUUUGGUUUUAAAUAAAAUCCCACUUGGGAUGUGUAUGAUUUCUAUUGAUUUCAAUUGGUGUAAAUAUGUAUUAAAGAAGAAAAAAGGACUCAGAAAGUGUUAACAGUUAACAAUUUAUAUCUGGUAUUUCCUAUUCCUGCUAACUCUACUUAUUAAGAACACCAAAAUAAGACAAAGAAAUCUCGAAAGGAGAGAAUAAAGCCACCUCACUGCAAAAUGUACCUUGUUUUAUUUAUCUCUCUGGGUAAUUUUCUGAAAGAUGGUAUUUUACUUAGUUGAGAGCUUUUAAAGUUACUUCUUAAAUAUUUUUUUUUUACCUAAAAUUUUAAUCUAAGGAAAAUAAUACAAUUUUUUUCAAGAAGACAAGAUCAUGCAUAGAUUAAAUGCUUCCCAAUCUUACUAGCUUUGAAAAUAAGGAGAUACGUAAUUAUAUCCAUAUUCUAAUUUACUAGGAAAAAAGAGAAUUAAUUAUCGUUAGAAAUGAAGUCUCUCUAAAUUAUUUUGGACUAUGAUGAAAAUUAAAAGUAAAAUGCAAUAGAACUUUUAAAUUUAAGUCAGGGCUUAACACUAGUUUGUUUUACCAGUAUAUUCUACUUCACUGUGACAAAGACCCAAACCAAAAGGUCUGAUUUCCUAUAGAUACUUUUUUUUUUUUUUACUAAAUCUAUAGUUAAGUAUUUCAAUGUGAAUAAUAUUCAUAUUUGUAAUACAAUGCUAUUUGUAGUAUAUGUGCAAAAAUAAUACUAUCUUAUUAGAAUGACAGUUGAAAGAAAUCAAUUUAAAGUGCCUAAGAUUUAAUGGCCAUUCGCUAUUUGUUCGUCUUGUAUUAACUGCUUUAAUUGAUUUAAUUGUAUUAAUGGUUUUAUAAACUUUUUUCUUUUUAUCCAAACAACAACCUCUCAGAUAGACACUACAGUUUUCUCCAUUUUACAUAUUUUAACAACUUAAGUUUAAGGAGGUGACAUUACUUGCUCAGGGUCUAAUAGGUUAUAAGUGCCAGACAAAGGACAUGAACCUAGGUUGGUUUGUUUCCACUAGAUGCCCUUAGCUAUGAUGCCGUACUGCUUCCUUAGACUUAUAACCUUUGCUCAUUUAUGGGGAUGAUGAUAUCAGGGGGUGAUAUAAUCGAUUUUUUUUCCCACCAGAAAAUAUUUCACAAAUACAUGUCAUAACGUGUGUCAUUCUCUUUAAGGUAGACAGCUUAGGAGGUUGUUUGCUUAUUUCAGUAAUGAUGUCUUUAGCAUCAGUCGCUAUAGAAAUCUCUCUAGGGGUUUGCUAUGCAGCCUUAACAGUUGCUUGUUGGCAAAUCAUUAUCAUUAAUGAUGAAUUUGUUGGUGAAACUAAAUCCAAACCAAAAGUGGUGAACAAGGUGGCUUCAUGGAAACUAUGAUGUGAUUAUAAAGCAGAUUAUUUGUUAUCUGGCACAGAAAUUGACACUAAUUGUAGAUACAAAAGGGGAUUUACAAUGGUAUUUCUGAUGUGAACGUGUAGCCUGUAAGGAGACAUUUUGGCAAGUAGCACUAUUAAAUCAGAUACAUUUUUAAAAAGUUAGUUACACUAAUUCGAAGUUACACGUUAUGUAUGAACAUCCUGGGAAACACCUUUUCAAGGAAUGUUCAACAGGCAGAGAAGGGUAAAUUGAGACCCUGGAUUAGAAUCCAGGCUCAGGCACUUAAUAACCAUUUGACUCGAUUUUCUAAGUGCCCUUGUUAUUAAAUAGGGAAAGUGGCAGGAUCUACACAGGAUGAUAAUUUUGCUGAGAGGAGGUGUAGUCCUACCUAGUGCCUGGCAUGUAGAAAUUGCUCAAUAAAUGUUAGCUAAUGUUAUAUUAUUUCACUUUCAAGGACUGCUCCGUGUUCCUGAAAAACAUUUCAAUGUCUCAUUUAUCUAAUGAUAUUUUAGAAGAUGUUUCCUUUUCUGUCAGCUUACAUGCUUAAAGCAUUUUUUAUUUCAGUAUACAUCUUUUUAUAUUUGAAAUAAAUAUACAACAUUUAGGAUAGUAUGUUGAUUAAACCAAUAUAUUUUAUACCAAGAAGCCUUACAUUUUGGGGUUGCCAAUUUAUAUUAGCCUUGUUUGGUAUUCUUUUCAGAGAAACAUAUGUGUGUGUACAUGUUUGAUUUUAUCAGACUUUGCUCAGAAUAAGGCUCCAAGGUUUUAUUUUUUAGUUAUGUCAGACAUCUUCUAGACUGCUUAUUGAUGACAUAUUCUUACACUUAAAUUUAAAGAGGCUUCCCAUAAAUACACAGAAGUAGUAGCUUCUUAUUAAAUCUGAGUUUUUAAGUGUUUUUAGAUCAAUAUUAUGUGUGUGGUAUAGGCAAAAUUGUAAGGUCGCUGAAGUUUGUCUUUGUGUCACCAGCCUCCCUAUACUCACCUUCAACUUGUCCUCUUUCACUCUGGCAUACACCAUUCACCCAGCAGCAAUUUUUAAAAUCAGUAAUAGCUCUUUAUUGAGUGUCUCUGUCUCCUCACAGCUUUUCGCUGAUGUGACCCACAAGAUCCUUUGAUUCCUCAGCAGCCUCUUUAUGCUCCAGUCUUCUCCUGGACUAUGUUCUAUCCAAGAAGCCAGCCACUCCAACAGUUUACCUCAUGACACACUCUCAGUGUGUUACUCCUUUCUGUGAACUUCUCUUCAAAAGUUUUCUGGAAGGAGUUCAUUAUCCAAAGGAGUAUCCAUGAUUACACAAAUUCCAUACAUUCCCUGCCCAGCUGGUCAGGAGAUGCUCUAGAGAGGAGACUUUCCGAGUGUCUCAAGUCCCUCCCACUUUGCUGACAUGUAAGUGAGCCCUGGGGUAAGUGGGAAGCCUGGCUCUUACUUGAAGAAAAAUUUUAUUUUUUUGAAGAGAUUGUGAUCGGAGGAUGAAUUCUCUAUGAGCAAAGUAUCAUGAUGCUCCUUGAAAAUUUGUCUACUUAUUUUUUUAAGAAAUAUAAUAACACUUUAGUACCUGUUGUUCCAGUCUCUUUUCCUAUUCUCUCUUUGCACAGGAGGCACACAGUUGCUGCAUGUCCCUUGUGCCAUAGCUACCAUGUUGUCACUUGGUCUCACCCUUUGUGCACUCCCUUCUGCCCCCAAAAGUCAUCAGAGGUGUAAUUAGUGACUAUUUCUCCAAAAAUGUCUUGAAAGGGAUAUACGAACCCUGUGAUGAGAAUGUGUUUUGGUCCCUGGAUGAAGGUUAGAAUCUGGAAGGGGUGGAGAGAGGUUCAGGGUUGGAGGACAACAUACAUUCUACCCUUUAUCACUUCUAUGAAAUCACAGAUAAAGCAUCUUCCUAUAGGCAGAGAUGAAUCAUGUAAAUUAAAUAUUUCCCAACUUUGUAUGGCAUUAAACCUGUAAAUAUGGAACAUCCAUAUCAAAUGUACUUUAUAUUGUAUUCUGAAGAAAUUCAUAAAUGAAGAAAUUUGAUUCUAAGUGAAAGAUUUUGAGCACUAUUUAAAGAAGGGUAAGUAGGAAACAUUCUACAAUCUUCUUUUUUUACUCCCUUUGACCCCUUUAGCAAUAGUGAAAUAGCUAAUCAAUAGAUUUAAUUCUGUCUUUUCCAUGUCGUUCCCUUUUGUCCUUCAUCUUUUCGGCUCCUUCUUUUCAUUUUCAGUUGUAAAUUUUUUAUUUUCAGUUAUAAAGUCAGUAUAGCCAUAAACACACACACACACACACACACACACACACACUCACAUAAACACACACCACUGGUUAUUAACAAUCAAAAAUUUUUUUCGUGCUUUGGAAAGUUACAUUUUCUAUUUCAGAAUCAUGGAAUAUUAUUAAUAAUACUUUCCUAUUUAUUUGAAUAACUUCAAAAUAAAAAAAACUGCUAACAAGGGAACUUAUUUCUAAAUAAUUGAUGAUGUGUGCUACAGAUAAUAUGGUCAUAGAAGAGUUUUUAUGAUUUUUUGUUAUUAAUCACUAUAAUUACUCUGAUUACAAUAAUGAUUAACUCACAGUGAAUAAGGUAUGUGCUUGUGCUCUUUAUCUAUUUUUGAAGGAUUUAUGUUCAUCCAUCUACACAUUCCACACAUUCUCACCUCAUCCUUGCGUACCUGUGAGAUUCUAGUUUGGGUAGUGUAUGGCCACGAAACAGUUUGCACACUGGAGAAUAAAGCCUGUGGGUUCCCUUACAUUAUUGCUGGGCCUUAGCCUUCUAAACUCCCUGGGUCAGGGAUGAUCAUCUGAGUUUUCUAAAACUUGAAUGUAUUUGCUUAUAUACUUCUCAUAAAAAGCACUGUCUGUGCUAUUUUUAAAUGACUUUUCUGAAGAGUCAAUUCAAGCCAUUUUUCAUAUUUCAAGUCGUUUUAUUUAGUGCCUGAAACUCAAGUAGAACUUGAGAAUGAUUUUUGGCUUAUCUCUGGUGUUGGGUGAAAUUUAUCGUUUGCCAAUCUACAUAAAAAUAAUUAAACUAUUUAAGUGCAAAUGUAACUGACAGUAAAUAAAAAUGGACAUAAAACUUCUGUGGCUGUAUCCAUAUGCUUCCUUUGAUCUCUCAGGACCUGAGAUCACUAGGUGCUGGUUUUCUUGCUACCGAAGAGCAAGAGAACCAACCCUCUUGAAGAAGACUCUAAUGAGGACUGAACAAUCUACCACAAUUUUCUUGUUCUAGAGAACAACUUUUCAGAGGGCCUCAGAUUUGCUCAGAUUCCUAGGCUUCACCUCAGAUCCCCUGAGCAAGAACCUCAGGAAUCUGCAUAGUAACUAGCUCCUCAGGUGUUUCUUACGUUUAUUUUGUUUGCAGCCACUGCCUAAGGGUGAGGGUGAUGAUAAGAUCUGCAAAGUCUUCUAAUUCCAUAACCUUCUCCAUUAUUUGUUCCCACACUCUCAACUAAUCUUAAGUUUUAUGGAACCUUUAAAUUAGUGAACACCUUUCAAAAUAGUAACAAUGAGAGGUCAAAAUUAUAGGAAUCUUUCUUUCUUUUGCCUCCCUUUGCUCAUGUUGUAAACAAUCAAAAAAGACAUGCCAUGUAUAUUCUGCCCAUUGUGAUUAGAAAACCCAUUAAGCAAUAUGGGGACCUAAUACUUUCAAAUUUCUGUGCCUUUCUUCAUCUUUACAUAUCUGAGGGGUAGUGUUUAUCUUUUCUGGAUGAACUGUGCUCUUAGAUCCUGGUAUCUUAGCAAAACCUGUAAAAUGGGUUCCAGAUCCAGUGACCUCUACUGUUAGUGACACCUGAGCUGCGAGCCCAUUCCUAUUUCAAUAAGCCUAGAUUCCCUGCAACCACAAUCACAAUCCCUGUUCACAAUCACGUGAGAAAUGUGGCUUUUCACUAAAAAGAUUUUCAACUAAAACAAAUAUUCCUUAUCAUCUUGAUAAGUACCUUUGCCUGCCAUGCAAUCUUGUAGGGCCUUCACACCAUUGCCAUCCCAGGCAACAUGGGGAUCCCUAUUCCCAGCCUUUUAACUUCUCUGCAUAGCCAGCUGCUGCCAUUAACCUCUUUUGGAUCCAGAUAUUUUUAACACUCCAGGUUAGGGGUUCUCUGAUGAGCCUGUUUCUUGUUCCAGCAUUUUUCUGAGACGAACAAACAUGUUCUCAAGCUGGCUUACAGCACCAAGUGUGGUGAAUAUAUAUAUAUAUAUUAUUUUUCAUUUUUUAAAAUGUCCCAUUUUAUAAAACUAAAAACAUUAAAUGUAAAUGGCGAUUAAGUUUGUUUGUGUCAACUCAGCCUUAUAGAUUGUACUGAAAACUUCAAAGCUAUGUGUGAUAAUAUAAUUUUGAGGGUGAGGCCUUUCAUAUUUUGCUACCGGGGUACCUAAGUGGGAAAAAAUAUGGCUAGCUGAUCAGUCAUGUAUUAUAAAGUGAUUUUGUCUUCGCUACUCAUCUCAGAAGCUAAAAACUGGUGCUAGUUUUAAUUAUUUGGAAUGCAGCCAUGUGGUGGGCUUCUUCAGCAGUAGGGAGGGGGCAGGGCAUGCCAGUGUAGACAAAAACCCACGAAUAUUGUGCAGAAUCCUUUUGGGACUUCACAUGAAGCAGCGGUAACACCUUUUUACUGGAUAACUAGAACUGUUUUUGCGAUGAUUUACACAUAGCCCAGCAAAGAGUCACAUCCAUUUGGUAUCCUCCCCGAGAUUACAUGACUUGUUUCCAGUCACAAAAUUACUGAGCAGUGAAAUAGAGAUUACAGCUCACAGCUGCCUACUUCUGCCCUGGUGUUCUUUGGACAGUACUCUUCAGCUCUAACAAGAAAACACUUAAGAUCUUUCAAAGGCAAACGAGAAACAAGUCGUUCACGUUCACUAACACCCCUUUGAGAUGUAGGGAGAUGACUGGAUUUAUUUAAAAGUCUUAUGAUUUUGCAUAUUUUGCUUUGACACCCCUGCCUUUCACAAUUGUUAGAAAUGGACAUCAUUUACUGAUUAUUUUGCUUUGCAUACUGUUGUUGCAUAUUGUUAAAUGAUUUGCUGAUUAAUAACUAACGUUGAUUUGGACUAAAUGUAAUGGAAUAAGCAAAUACAUUUGUAAAAUUAGAUAUAUUGUAUAAUUUAGUUGCUAAUUGGUAUCAUAGAGCUGUUGGAGGUUAUUUUAGACCAAUCCCUUGCAGGGAAAUCCUGUCCACGAUUUCCUCCCAUAUCCUGUAGCAAUGUUUUAAGACCCCCUCCCCCGUUUAAAAAAAUUCAUUUGCUUGUCCGGGCUUUAAAGCAAACACUUGUCACAGGCAGAUACAGCUCCAAAGCUCUGGGUUAAAAUAAAUCCUUUUAAAUUCAGAACAUGGUAGUUAUCUCCUAAAUGAUUUCUUUUCUAGAGGGUCAGAAAAGAAUAAAGUAUUUAGUGUGAAUAUAUUUUCAUGACCUUGAUCGAAUCCGUAUGAUGGGCAGCAUUGUCAACACAAUAUAUUAUAGCAAUAUAAGAUAUUAAUAUAAUAAUUAUUUGAAUAAAUAACAGAUACUUAUAUUAAUAUAGGAUUAUUGAGUCAUAGAAUUUCUGAGCUGUUUGGAAACACUUGCUGAUGAGCCCUCUGGGGUCUAGAAGGUUUUGUAAUUAACACACAUACACCACACACACACACACACACACACACACACACACACACACGUGUGCUAGUUCAUUGUUGAGUCACUUAUAUGAACUGUUUAAUAUGUUCUGUACGUAGGUAAUGUGCGUAUGCUUAUGCUUUGGUACAUUUUGUAUUUUUAAUUAUUUUCUAAUAUUUCAAAAAAUUUUCAACCUGAACUUCUGAUUUCUGUGUUCAUUUUCUAAACAUAUACACUGUCAUUGAUUAUUUUUUAUUUCUGCUGUUUCAUAUACACCAUAAAUAUUUUCAGUUUGGAAAUCAGUUUAAAUAGCAAAGAGAAUCUAAAAAAGAAUUUGUACUAUAGAUAUUUUAAUGUGUUUAUGUUCUUUUUUUAAAAGCAACAUUUUAAUAUGCUCUGAUAAAACUGUAUUUCUCUAAUAAGGUAUUAAGUCUGGUGGCUGAAAAUAGUUCCCCAAAGGAAUGUCACUCACAUUAAUUUUCCAUGUGCUCUCUUUUACUUAUAGUUUCAUUGUCCGCAUGUUUAAAGUCUAAUAGAAAAAAAAAUCUCUGGAUAUGAAGUUGGGAGAUAGAUCCAAGUCUACAUCUACGUCCUCAUGUUGGUGACCUUGGGUAAAUUUUAUUUUUGUGCUUCCAUUUCAUUUUUUUAAAAACGAGUAGUUGAAAGCAUCAAAGAGUCUUUCCCACAAUUCAAACACUCCAUGAGCUCAAAAGAUUUGAUUGAAAGAAAUGUGUGGGCAUCAUUACCUGACUGUCCAGUAUUUUCAUGGUCACACACUUGUUCCGUAUAUCUGAAGUCCCUUUAAGGAAGUUAACUCUUUGUAGGUGUGAGAUAGGGUCAUCAAGAGAAGUGGGGUAAAUAGAAAAGGAAGGGGAAAUAAAUUAAUGACAAAGACAGAAUGAUAGGUGGUGGAAAUGAUUCCCUUUUUACUUCUUUAUAUCUAUGGUCUAGUUAUUCCUGUUUGAAAACCUUACUGGCACCAGGUAUUAUCAACAGGGAUGAGUAAUAUGUAAUUUUUAUCUUUACUGGGUUACAUUUGGCCCACAGACAGUUGACAGCUGUCAGUCAGGUGGCUGGUCAAUGAGGAGAUACAUGUAAAGCUGCCAAAGUAUUUUUGUUUCUUUAAAUACUUAUAAGUAAACCAUUUUAGUUGGAAGCUUCAUUGUCCUGAAAUUAAAUAGAUUGAUAUUCACAAUAUAAUUUGUUGAAGUUAGUUGCUGGGAAAAUCAAAAUUUUCCCUGCGAAUAUAUGGGUAAACAAAAUGUUUUUCAAAUGUCUUUCUGAAACAGGAGAAUAAUUAAUUUUUCUCUACUAUAACUAGAAAAGGCCAUCCUUAAGAUUUGAAGAUAUAUUGCAAAUAAGGCUUAAAAUUAAAAAAAAUUUUUUUUAAUUAAACUUUUAGUACACAUAUGAGUCAAUGCAACUUUCAGUCAUAAUUUCUGACUAAGACUUAUUAAAAGAAACCAUUUCCUUACAUUGAGGGGGUUGGUAUAGGUAUUUUUGUGACACAAGAGUUGAGGGUUUACCAGAAAGGACGAACGUGUACCUGCAUGUUGAUCUAGGAAUUAACGCUUCUUUUCAUAAUUACAGGAAAAAAAACCAUGGAAGUUUAGAUUAUGCUCACAGUUCAGGGCAUGGUUAAAAUGACAAGUUUUGGCUAUUUAGAAAUAUUUGGGCUAUACCUAAUAUUGUUUCUAAUAGGUUCAGUCACACUUAAAUAAUUCACGAGAGUCAUAAAAAAGAGAUUGGAAGAAGAUUUUGUAUGGCUUAUAUUUAGUGUUCAUGACAAACAAUAUAUUAAUUAUAGUCAAUAUAGUAAUGCACAUGAACACUUAACAAAUGUAAUUCUAAAGUUGACUUAAGAGUGUAUAUUCAGUGUUGCAGUAGUUGUCUCUAAAAGCAAAUGCUCUGAUUCUUUAGGAAUAUAGAGUUUAACAGACUAGAUAAAUAACAGAAAUAUCAAGUGCACGCAGUACAUACUCAUUUUUUAAGAGACUAAUGAAGUUAUCUAAAAAGUGCAGUGACUGGAGUUACUUAGGUGCCAGAAUCAAUAUAAUGAAGAUGAUAGAAUAUCACACAAAAAUAGCAGUUUGACACCACACUAUAUUCCUUUCUAAAAAAUAAAAUAUACUUUACUUUUAUGAACCAUAUUCUGCAUGUAAUAAUUUACAAUGAAAAUCAGACUUGGGUUUUACUUUUUAAAUUAUGUUUUAAAAAUAUUAGAUUUUUUGGGUGGGAAGAUCAUUUCCGGUAAUUUUUUAAACCGCAAAUAGUUAAUAAUUUUAAAACGGCAACGAAGUCAGUCUAAAAGAGUAUGAUACUUAUAAAUUUGUGGCUAAUCCAUAUCAUCAUUGAUUUGAAAAUUGUUUUAGAUGAAGUGGUCAUUAAAAAAAGUCAGAUCUUAUUAUUUUCCUACUAUAGAACUAUGUAUUAAGCAUGUAGAUUGAAAAUUAUUAUGAGAUCAUCAGAAUAAAACAAUUGCCUCAUAAUAUUAGUAAUUUAUACUGGUAGGAGCCUUUCUCUUCUUAAGCACCAAUUCUACCCCCCACAGCCCAGAAAAUUGAUUUUAUGGCUGAUAAUUUAUAGCAUUCUUGAUCAGUGUAUGCUGUGUGUCGUUUACAUUCAUUAGCCCAUGUUGCUUGUGAAUAUGGAAUUUGGUUGUUAAAAUGGUUUCAUAUGUUUACUAUGUAUAGUCUUUAGCUUUGAGCUCCUUACUUGCUUAAAUAAAUGUUUUCAAUUUGUAUAAUACAACAAUUUGUAGAGAAAUGCUGUGAAUCAUAGUUAAAAGAAUGAGUCCUUGAAAUAGAAUCAUUUUUUAAAAAUAUAUCCUGACACGUGGUCUUAUUUUUCCAUGUUUUGUAUUAAUUAAAAUCCUAUUCUGAAAAAAAUAUUUUUGCCUAAACUUUUGAAUUCACAAAAUAAAAAUACCAAAUAUAUAAAUGUACUAAUUUUGGAAAUCAGUGACGUAAAAACAUGCUUUAGUAAUGUCUUCGAUGUUUAUUCCAAAGAUUUUUCUCCAAAGAAACUCUUUGUAAAGUAAUGAGAAGAUGUUGCCACUUUUAAUUAUUAAAUAUUCUAUUCAAUACAUGUUUUUAAAUUGUAUUAUAAAUAAAAUUCAUUUCAUAUUCUCUUUAAUCAUAUUCCUGUCACAUGCACCCAUAAAAAAUAGUAGCGCAUGAAACGUUUGAAAAGAGCAUGUACCAUUUCACAUUUUUAUUUGAUUUAUUGAAAAAUAACAUUUUAUUCGGAAUAGAUUAUGACAGAAUUAGAUAAAAAAGAGAUGAAAUGUUAUUUAUGUGUUUGUUUUAAUAGUCCAAUAGCAUACGUGUAAUUACUUUUGCAUCUUUCAAAUAUUGGAGAUAGUAAUGAAAGAGACCGACAUUCAAAAUAUAAAGUAUUUCCUAUAAAACUUUUUUUGAAUGUAAAAAAUUGUCAAAUGGUAACAGCUCUACUUUCUACACCAGGCAAACCCACUGUUGAGUUAGUUGGCUCUGAUUCCAGUGGGUCUCAUCAGCUUUCUGAAUGUAGGUUCCUCAGCAGUGCCUCUUCCAAGAUAACAAAAUCAACUUUUAAAGAUUAAAAAAUAUAUUUUGGCAAUUGAAACUCACCAGUGCCUUUCUGCUUCUCCAGGAAGUUGUACCCUUCAGCACCUGCUGAGGGCUUUGUUGUCCAAACUCUGACAGGUAAAAAAAUUCCUGUAGAAUAAAGCCAGACCAGCUGGCUUUGAAGAGAAACCCCCCAGUUUGGGCUGCGCUUGUCUCUUCUCCUUUUCUAUGAAGACCCAGGCUUUCCCCCCUUGAUCGUCAAGCCGUAAGAUGCGUGAUCCCUGUGCACAAGUGUCUGGCAGGCCGAGGUGCACCUGUUCCUGUCACUCUGGGGUAAAUUUAGCUGUAAAGGUAUCACUGACAACCAGACCUUUGUCAGUGUUGGCAAAAGAACACAGAAUUGCUUCGCUCCCCUCCCCCUUCCAAGCCCCAAUGCUGCUAGUUCAAAUGGAAAAUAUCAAAUUGGAAGUCUAUCCAAAAAUCAUUCCUAAAAAAUGAGAUUGCUUUCAUAUGGUAAAAAAGUAAGUUUCCUCAUUUCACGCAGACUUUAAAAUUACAUUUCCAAGAAUAAUCUUGGAACAAGACAAGUUUUUGUUCAAUUAAUUGUGGCUGGAAACUUUUUAAUGGAAACAUAGCACACACUUACUUCAUUUCAGAUUAUUAAAUUGUGUUAAGCCUUAAAGUUAGUUGCCAUUCUUUGCUGUAGCUCAUUUGUUCUUUUCAAUCCAGAGAAAUAUUAGAACGUUAAAACUUAUCACAUAGGAGGGUUUAAUCAUCCUACCAAAAUUAGACAGCAUGUAGCUCUGAAAGACUGAAUGUCAAAUUGUGUGCUCGUAGCCCUUAAACUACUGAGAAUCUAGGACCCCACUACUACAUUUAAAAUGACUGUUCAUGUUUGUGGAAAACCGUGGACGUUUAGGAACUGGUAAAGCUAGAGGUCUCUUACUCUUUGAUUAAGGUAAGGACAUUUAUCGUUUAUGUAAAUUUUUUAGAUUAAUUGCUGUACUGACAGUUUGAGAACAAUUCCUUUUGAAGGAAAAUGGAGAGGCAGGCAGUGUUCAUUGCUAUGUCCGGCAUAAAUACAGUAGUUAACAUAUAUAAAGUAGCCCAAAGAGUAUUGUGUUUAGCCAAAGCAUUCUGAGCUUCUCUUUAAUAAUUAUGAUUUCUUAAGUGGUGUUAAAAAGAAUUGUGCAAAGUACCUGUUCUACCAUAUUAUUGCUGUUUACAAGGGCUGGGUGUGAUGAGAAAAAGAAAUCUGGGUCAAAAUAAAAAAUGCUUUGUAAAAUAAACAAAGUUCCUAUUUACUUACUAUGUAUAAACAGCCACUCACCAAGCCUCAUUUCUCCGCAGGGCACCACUUUCAGAUAAAAACAUAGACCUGAAUGGCAUCAUCCAGUAUCCAAGGAAACCAU
RNAcentral lists this long non-coding RNA (14549 nucleotides) under Lynx pardinus (Iberian lynx). Lineage: Eukaryota; Metazoa; Chordata; Mammalia; Carnivora; Felidae. The record is from RNAcentral.